AACGCACCUUGCGCCCUUUGGUAUUCCGAAGGGCAUGCCUGUUUGAGUGUCAUUAAAUUAUCAACCUUGCUCGCUUUUACCGGCUUGAGUUAGGCUUGGAUGUGAGGGCUUUGCUGGCUUCCUUCAGUGGAUGGUCUGCUCCCUUUAAAUGCAUUGGUAAAGACGUAUGCAGGCCUCUGUAAUGGAGGUAUGUGCUGGCCUCUGUAAUGGAGGUAUAUGCUGGCCUCUGUAAUGGAGGUUAGUAUCAGUGUCGGCCUUUCGGUGUGAUAAUGAUCACCGUGGCUAGCUGCUUAUGAAUGUCUAUGCCUUACUUGCUCCUUUUCCAUUGAGUUGGAAAAAAGCACUUGACCAUUUUGACCUCAAAUCAGGUAGGACUACCCGCUGAACUUAA
This 391-nucleotide ribosomal RNA is filed under the name uncultured fungus. RNAcentral's name for it is "eukaryotic LSU rRNA". The stretch from base 1 to 52 matches the Rfam family "5.8S ribosomal RNA", at positions 103 to 154 of the family's 154-position model. The record is from RNAcentral. Lineage: Eukaryota; Fungi.